RNAcentral lists this ribosomal RNA (253 nucleotides) under uncultured bacterium. RNAcentral describes it as "partial 16S ribosomal RNA". It matches the Rfam family "Bacterial small subunit ribosomal RNA", at positions 524 to 776 of the family's 1533-position model. The record is from RNAcentral.
UACGGAGGGGGCUAGCGUUGCUCGGAAUUACUGGGCGUAAAGCGCACGUAGGCGGCCAUGAUAGUCAGAUGUGAAAGGCCUGGGCUUAACCCGGGAACUGCAUUUGAUACUGCGUGGCUAGAGUCCGAGAGAGGGUAGUGGAAUUCCCAGUGUAGAGGUGAAAUUCGUAGAUAUUGGGAAGAACACCAGUGGCGAAGGCGGCUACCUGGCUCGGUACUGACGCUCAGGUGCGAAAGCGUGGGGAGCGAACAGG